CCUACGGUGUGCUGCAGUAGGGAAUAUUCGGCAAUGGGCGCAAGCCUGACCCAGCAACGCCGCGUGAAGGAAGAAGGCUUUCGGGUUGUAAACUUCUUUUCUGAGGGACGAAGAAAGUGACGGUACCUCAGGAAUAAGCCACGGCUAACUACGUACCAGCAGCCGCGGUAAUACGUAGGUGGCAAGAAUUAUCCGGAUUUAUGGGGUGUAAAGGGCGUGUAGGCGGGAAAGCAAGUUAGAUGUGAAAACUCAGGGCUCAACCCUGAGCCUGCAUUUGAAACUGUUGUUCUGGAGUGCUGGAGAGGCAAUCGGAAUUCCGUGUGUAGCGGUGAAAUGCGUAGAUAUACGGAGGAACACCAGUGGCGAAGGCGGAUUGCUGGACAGUAACUGACGCUGAGGCGCGAAAGCGUGGGGAGCAAACAGGAUUAGAUACCCGAGUAGUC
Molecule: ribosomal RNA, 443 nt
Filed under: uncultured bacterium
Lineage: Bacteria
Description: partial 16S ribosomal RNA
Rfam family: Bacterial small subunit ribosomal RNA
Source: RNAcentral